Molecule: ribosomal RNA, 789 nt
Filed under: uncultured Bacillota bacterium
Lineage: Bacteria; Bacillati; Bacillota
Description: bacterial SSU rRNA
Rfam family: Bacterial small subunit ribosomal RNA
Source: RNAcentral
AGGGAGUUUGAUCCUGGCUCAGGAUGAACGCUGGCGGCGUGCUUAACACAUGCAAGUCGAACGGAGUUUAAGAAGGAAGCUUGCUUUCAUUUUAAACUUAGUGGCGGACGGGUGAGUAACGCGUGAGGAACCUGCCCUUCAGUGGGGAACAACAACUAGAAAUGGUUGCUAAUACCGCAUAAUGUCGGAGAGCCGCAUGACAUUCCGACCAAAGGAUUUAUUCGCUGAAGGAUGGCCUCGCGUCCGAUUAGAUAGUUGGUGAGGUAACGGCCCACCAAGUCUACGAUCGGUAGCCGAACUGAGAGGUUGAUCGGCCACAUUGGGACUGAGACACGGCCCAGACUCCUACGGGAGGCAGCAGUGGGGAAUAUUGGGCAAUGGGCGAAAGCCUGACCCAGCAACGCCGCGUGAAGGAUGACGGUCUUCGGAUUGUAAACUUCUUUAAUUGGGGAAGAACAAAAUGACCUACCCAAAGAAUAAGUCACGGCUAACUACGUGCCAGCAGCCGCGGUAAUACGUAGGUGACAAGCGUUAUCCGGAUUUACUGGGCGUAAAGGGCGUGUAGGCGGUCUUGCAAGUCAGAAGUGAAAUUCCUGAGCUCAACUCGGGCGCUGCUUCUGAAACUGCAGGACUUGAGUGCUGGAGGGGAUAGCGGAAUUCCUAGUGGAGCGGUAAAAUGCGCAGAUAUUAGGAAGAACACCGGUGGCGAAGGCGGCUAUCUGGACAGUAACUGACGCUGAGGCGCGAAAGCGUGGGGAGCAAACAGGAUUAGAUACCCUGGUAGUCCCU